AACCUCCGCAAUGUGAGAAAUCGCGACGGGGGGAUCCCAAGUGCCAUUCUUAACGGGAUGGCUUUUCAUUAGUGUAAAAGAGUUUUUAGAAUAAGGGCUGGGCAAGACCGGUGCCAGCCGCCGCGGUAACACCGGCAGCUCUAGUGGUAGCAGUUUUUAUUGGGCCUAAAGCGUCCGUAGCCGGUUUAAUAAGUCUCUGGUGAAAUCCUGUAGCUUAACUGUGGGAAUUGCUGGAGAUACUAUUAGACUUGAGCCCGGGAGAGGUUAGAGGUACUCCCAGGGUAGAGGUGAAAUUCUGUAAUCCUGGGAGGACCGCCUGUUGCGAAGGCGUCUAACUGGAACGGUUCUGACGGUGAGGGACGAAAGUUAGGGGCGCGAACCGGAUUAGAUACCCGGGUAGUCCUAACUGUAAACGAUGCGGACUUGGUGUUGGGGUGGCUUUGAGCUGCUCCAGUGCCGAAGGGAAGCUGUUAAGUCCGCCGCCUGGGAAGUACGGUCGCAAGACUAAAACUUAAAGGAAGU
This 522-nucleotide ribosomal RNA is filed under the name uncultured bacterium. Its description in RNAcentral is "bacterial SSU rRNA". It matches the Rfam family "Archaeal small subunit ribosomal RNA", at positions 345 to 866 of the family's 1478-position model. The record is from RNAcentral.